CGUGUAGGCGGCCAGACAGGUCCGUUGUGAAAACUAGAGGCUUAACCUCUAGACGUCGAUGGAAACCGUUUGGCUAGAGUCCGGAAGAGGAGAAUGGAAUUCCUGGUGUAGCGGUGAAAUGCGCAGAUAUCAGGAAGAACACCCGUGGCUAAGGCGGUUCUCUAGUACGGUACUGACGCUGAGACGCGAAAGCGUGGGGAGCGAACAGGAUUAGAUACCCUGGUAGUCCACGCCGUAAACGAUGGGUGCUAGGUGUGGGGGGUGUCGACUCCCCCCGUGCCGAAGCUAACGCAUUAAGCACCCCGCCUGGGGAGUACGGCCGCAAGGCUAAA
RNAcentral lists this ribosomal RNA (332 nucleotides) under uncultured bacterium. Its description in RNAcentral is "bacterial SSU rRNA". It matches the Rfam family "Bacterial small subunit ribosomal RNA", at positions 568 to 898 of the family's 1533-position model. The record is from RNAcentral.